RNAcentral lists this ribosomal RNA (481 nucleotides) under uncultured bacterium. Its description in RNAcentral is "bacterial SSU rRNA". It matches the Rfam family "Bacterial small subunit ribosomal RNA", at positions 29 to 506 of the family's 1533-position model. The record is from RNAcentral.
AUGAACGCUAGCGGCAGGCCUAAUACAUGCAAGUCGAGGGGCAGCACGGGUAGCAAUAUCUGGUGGCGACCGGCGCACGGGUGCGUAACACGUAUACAAUCUGCCUUUUACAGGAGGAUAGCCUUUCGAAAGAGAGAUUAGUACCCCAUAAUACAUGAAAUAGCAUUAUUUUAUGUUGAAAGCUCCGGCGGUAAAAGAUGAGUAUGCGUCCUAUUAGCUAGUUGGUAGUGUAACGGACUACCAAGGCUACGAUAGGUAGGGGAUCUGAGAGGACUACCCCCCUCACUGGUACUGAGACACGGACCAGACUCCUACGGGAGGCAGCAGUAAGGAAUAUUGGUCACUGGGGGCAACCCUGAACCAGCCAUGCCGCGUGCAGGAAGAAGGCCCUAUGGGUCGUAAACUGCUUUUAUACGGGAGAAAACCUGGGUACGUGUACCCAGUUGAUAGUACUGUAAGAAUAAGGAUCGGCUAACUUCGU